UGGAGCUCACCGAUCUUUCCACUCCU
This 26-nucleotide non-coding RNA is filed under the name Mus musculus (house mouse). The record is from RNAcentral. Lineage: Eukaryota; Metazoa; Chordata; Mammalia; Rodentia; Muridae.